RNA transcript from Daucus carota subsp. sativus, 2272 nucleotides. RefSeq lists it as uncharacterized. The record is from RefSeq and is a predicted model, not a curated record. The transcript has 11 exons. NCBI's taxonomy places the organism in Eukaryota, Viridiplantae, Streptophyta, Magnoliopsida, Apiales, Apiaceae.
GUCUAGGGCAUCGACGAAAACUCACCAGAAAAUGCAAAGGAUGAGAACAGCAAUGUCCACUCACAUACUCACUCUCACCCUCCUCAAAACCCCUAUUUACAAACCCAAAUCCCCCCCUUUCCUCCAAAACCCUAACCCUAACCACCCAAUACGACGCCGCUUCAGCCUCUCCGCUUCCGCCGCAACACCGCCACCAAUCACCGCCACUCCAAAUGUCGAAAUUGACCCCCGCUACUUAUCGUGUUGUAUGCCUGAUAAGCGCCUCAACGUCGCCGUCCUCGUCAGCGGCGGCGUUGAUAGCAGCGUGGCUCUGCGGCUUUUACACGCCGCCGGGCAUUCGUGCACCGCGUUUUAUCUGAAAAUCUGGUUUCAGGAGGAUUAUGAGAACUUCUGGUCUGAAUGUCCGUGGGAAGAUGAUCUUAAGUAUGCUAAGGCAGUUUGUAAUCAGGUUGACAUACCCCUGGAAGUAGUGCAUUUGACAGAUGAGUACUGGAGUAAUGUGGUAUCAUAUAUUAUUGAAGAGUAUCGAUGCGGCCGAACUCCUAAUCCAGACGUUCUCUGCAAUACAAGAAUAAAGUUUGGUGCCUUUAUGGAUGCCAUUAGUAGUAUGGGAUUUGACUUUGUUGCUUCCGGACAUUAUGCAAAAGUCAUUCAUGAAUUCACGGAGCAAUCAAGUGGGCCUUCUGUCCUACAACUCUCAGAAGAUAUGGUCAAGGAUCAAACUUACUUUCUUUCGCAUCUUUCUCAAUCCCAGCUUAGAAGAUUGAUCUUUCCUCUCGGUUGUAUUCCUAAGGAUGUAGUUCGUGAAAUUGCUAAGAGUUUUGAUUUGCCAAACAAGGAUAGAAAGGAUUCACAAGGAAUAUGCUUCCUUGGUAAGAUAAAGUUCAGUGAAUUUGUGGCGAGACACAUCGGGGAGAGAGAGGGUGUAAUAUUGGAAGCUGAGACAGGAGACUUUUUGGGUAAACACAGGGGAUUCUGGUUCUACACAAUUGGUCAACGUCAAGGCUUACGGCUUCCUGGGGGACCUUGGUAUGUCGUAGAGAAAGACACCAAAAAUAAUGUGGUCUUCGUGUCAAGGAGCUACUAUUCAGUUGAUAAAAGAAGGCGAUCUUUUCGUGUGGGAUCCUUCAAAUGGCUUUCUGGGAAGCAUCCAAAUGAGAUCGGCCAUCUGCAGUGCAAGGUUCGACAUGGCCCUGGUUUUUACGAUUGCAGCUUGACGAUGGAACCUGGAGAGAAUAGUCAUGAUAAAGUAGCGGUUGUACAGUUAUCUGAAGAUGAUCAAGGUAUUGCCGCUGGGCAGUUUGCAGCCUUCUACAGCGGAAGGACUUGUCUUGGGUCUGGCGUGAUUUUAGAAUCCUGGGACGAUUCUGGGUUUCCCAUAUGUUCUAGGGCACGUGAAACUGCUGGAAUGGAAGAUAAGUCAAAGCUCGGGAAACCAGUAAAAAUUAAAUUUAUACCUGGUCUUCCAAACUCUGAUACUACUGAAGAUGCAAGACUGGCCCAGCUUGAGGUGGAUAAUUCUAAAUCUGCUAUUAGGGCUACUAGAAGGCGGGCAUCACAUCAGAAAACCAUUUUAACUGCCCCGCAUAAUUGGCUGCGACGGUUUACGAAGAAGUGGAUGAGGAUCUUUCAGUAAUUCCCCAAUUCCAGGAAUAGUUAGAAACAAGUCAGACUACACAUUGCUCAGACAUACACGAAGCAGAAUUUUAUGUUAUUUGGCGGGAAAAUAGCAUGCAGAGUCUAUUUUGCUGGAGAACAGCUGCUUUAGGGGAUUAUUUCCAGUCACAUGAAGCUGCUUCAGAUAAUGAUAGCCGCACCGAGCUUCUCCACGACCUCAUCCUUAUUACAGCCCUGAAUCCUGAUCAACAAGUUUCUCCUCCAACAUGACUAGCUGUAAGCCUGUAACUCACUAACUCUAUCGCUGAUCAUGCUGGAGAAUGUCUUUAUUCGCCUUUUUUGAUGCAGCAAAGACGCCUUGAGUUGAGUUCAAGGGUUUGUUUGUGAAGGGUUUUAUAGAGAACUUGUUCUGGAUGUGGCCGGGGGUUCCGGAGCCUCGGGCGGUGUGAAAUUCGUUUCCGUUCAUGGUGGAACCAAAAGGUUCAAAACCUUAAUUUUUGGAGAUUGGGAGAUUGUGUGAAAUAGUGGGAGUUCAGAAUUUGAAUAGGUGGAGGGGGGAAUUGAGAAGACUACGGUUUUAUAUAGAAAUCUUCAUUUUGUACUUUUUAUUUUUUGAUAAAUAAAUCGGCGAUUUAUAAAUUUCUUUUGUCACUCU